UGCCUACGGGACGCAGCAGUGGGGGAUAUUGCACAAUGGGGGGAACCCUGAUGCAGCGACGCCGCGUGGGUGAAGAAGCGCCUCGGCGCGUAAAGCCCUGUCAGCAGGGAAGAAAAUGACGGUACCUGAAGAAGAAGCCCCGGCUAACUACGUGCCAGCAGCCGCGGUAAUACGUAGGGGGCAAGCGUUAUCCGGAUUUACUGGGUGUAAAGGGUGCGUAGGCGGAUUUUUAAGUCAGCGGUAAAAUGUCCGGGCUCAACCCGGGCCGGCCGUUGAAACUGGGGAUCUUGAGUGGGCGAGAAGUA
RNAcentral lists this ribosomal RNA (305 nucleotides) under uncultured bacterium. RNAcentral describes it as "bacterial SSU rRNA". It matches the Rfam family "Bacterial small subunit ribosomal RNA", at positions 335 to 659 of the family's 1533-position model. The record is from RNAcentral.